RNAcentral lists this ribosomal RNA (426 nucleotides) under uncultured bacterium. RNAcentral's name for it is "bacterial SSU rRNA". It matches the Rfam family "Bacterial small subunit ribosomal RNA", at positions 356 to 773 of the family's 1533-position model. The record is from RNAcentral.
GGGGAAUAUUGGGCAAUGGGCGCAAGCCUGACCCAGCGACGCCGCGUGGGUGAUGAAGGCCUUCGGGUUGUAAAGCCCUGUCAUGUGGAAAGAACAGUCCCGUGGUGAAUAUCCACGGGAUUUGACGGUACCACAGGAGGAAGCACCGGCUAACUCCGUGCCAGCAGCCGCGGUAAUACGGAGGGUGCAAGCGUUGUUCGGAAUUAUUGGGCGUAAAGGGCGCGUAGGCGGUUGUGAAAGUCAGAUGUGAAAUACUUCGGCUCAACUGAAGAACUGCAUCUGAAACUUCAUAACUCGAGUACAGGAGAGGGAAACGGAAUUCCCGGUGUAGAGGUGAAAUUCGUAGAUAUCGGGAGGAACACCAGUGGCGAAGGCGGUUUCCUGGCCUGAUACUGACGCUGAGGCGCGAAAGCGUGGGGAGCAAAC